RNAcentral lists this long non-coding RNA (268 nucleotides) under Elaeis guineensis (African oil palm). Its description in RNAcentral is "long non-coding RNA (EGUI_LNC030703)". The record is from RNAcentral. Lineage: Eukaryota; Viridiplantae; Streptophyta; Magnoliopsida; Arecales; Arecaceae.
GCCAUGAAAAUAAAUAUUCCUGAAAGAGGAAUAUGAGUGGAUGCAAUGGUGGUGGAUGACUCAGAUGAUAAUAUAGUAGAGUUGGAGAAAAAAGGAGUGGACUCAAAAAAGGUAAUAUCAGUGUAAACAAAAUAUCGAUGAAGUUCAGAAGAGUAGCACUUAUUUUUUUUUAUCCUUAUGAAUAUCCAAAAAAUAUAUAUUUAAUAAAAUGAGCAUAUAACUUAGAUGCACCAGGAGAUAACUGAUGAACGAAGCAUACAUAUCCAAA